UAUUGAAUCCCAUCAGUCACAAUAGUGACCGUAAAAAACGUUUUCAGUUAUAAGGCUCUAAAAAUGUUACUGAAUGAUGUAUCAAUGCAUUUCCAGCAAAUAUUGAAAUAAUAAAGGGUUUCAAUGAAAUAUGUGCAGUGUCACAUGUUUAUUGUAGAUUGUCACAUGACCAGAGCUGUUUACUUCCUCGUUGCGCCAUGAGAAGACGAUAGCUGCGUCAAAGCUCCCAAACAAAAGUUUCACUUUGAGUCAAGUUCUGGAUAUGUUGGAUCUAGGUGACUGCCCAGACAAGGCAUGCAACAUUGCAGUUAUCCCUCAGAGAUUGUGAUAGCGGUGGGUCAGAUAUGGACUAUGGGGGGGGGAGACAGGCCAUUUGCCAGCCAGGCUGUUGAAUGUAUAUGCUGAACCUAUGCAAACAGACCAUGACAGGAACAAUGUUAUCAGUGAUGAUGACCUACCCCUCACUACCCCACACUCUCCCCCCUGAGACUGGGUUGGGUCAUGGACCUCAAGGUUGCAAGUUCCUUCGUGACAACCUCUUCACUUCACUUGCACUCCUCAAUGAAAUGACAAAAAGAGGAUAUGGGAGCUCUGGAACGAUGAGGCCAAAUCGUCUGUUUGAUGUCCCAUUCAAGCCACAUAAAGACUUCAUGAAGUUACCUGGGGAACCUCUGAGUUUUUGAGCCAAGGAGACAAGUUGCUGGUCCGUUAGAAAGACAUUAACAUUGUCACAGUGGCAACAAACAUGGAGGAGAAAUACAGUGAGACCUCUGUCAAGAGAUGGAACAAGGAGCGAUGUGCCUUUUGACAAAGUCCUACAACAAAAUGCAUCAACCGAUACAAUGAGCACAUGGGGGGGGGUGUUGUUCUUCACAACCUACAGGUUUCAAUAUUCCAUAUCUCCAUCAGUUCUAAGAAGUGGUGGUGGCCCAUCUUUGCAUGGUCUCUCAACAGUGCACUCGUUAACAGCCAUUUAUUUUACAGAGAUGUUAUGGGAGGGACAAUCGACCUGCUCACCUUCUCAUGGAUAGUGGCACAGUCUCUUAUGCAAAAGUUUGGCACGAGACCACUGAGCCACGGAAGGAGAUCUCUACUGGCUGCCACUGUUGAAGAUCAGGCAAGAUAUGACAAAGCUUCUCACUGGCCAAUCAACACGAUGCACCGGUUCCAGAGAUGUCGUCAUUGUGACAAACGCACUACCUAUGCAUGUGAGAAAUGCAAAGCGCCACUGCACAUUGAGUGCUUCAAGAUAUACCACGGACAGUAGAAAAGGCGUUAAGAGUGAAUGAAAAAGGGCUGAAAAACCCAAUAAAAAAACAAAUGUGAAAAGUCAAUAAAGGGUGAGGAGAAGCAGUACCACGGACUCUAGGAAGAAAAGAAAAGUCAAUGAAAAAGGGAAUCAAUUGAUUCAAGACCUACUGUAUGAAAGUAGGUCUGACUGAUUGUAGUUCAAAAUAGUGAUGCACAAACUAACAUAUAGAUAUACAUGUGUAUAUGUGUGUAUGUACGUAUCUAUGUAUAGGAGACAGAACGUGUCUCCUUCCUGAGCGGUAUGACGGCUGCGUGGUCCCAUGGUGUUUAUACUUGCAUACUGUUGUUUGAACAGAUGAACAUGCUACCUUCAGGCGUUUUUUAUUUUUUUAUUUUUUUACCUUUAUUUAACCAGGCAAGUCAGUUAAGAACACAUUCUUAUUUUCAAUGACGGCCUGGGAACAGUGGGUUAACUGCUAGUUCAGGGGCAGAACAACAGAUUUGUACCUUGUCAGCUCGGGGGUUUGAACUCGCAACCUUCCGGUUACUAGUCCAACGCUCUAACCACUAGGCUACGCUGCCGCCCCGUAUAUAGGCAGCGUAGGUUUGGAAAUUGCUCCCAAGGAUGAACCAGACUUGUGCAGGUCAACAAUUUUUUUUUCUGAGGUCUUGGCUGAUUUAUUUUGAUUGUCCCAUGAUGUAAAGCAGUUGAGUGUAUGUAAACUUCUGACCCACUGGGAAUGUGAUGAAAAAUUAUUCUCUCUACUAUUAUUCUGACAUUUCACGUUUUUAAAAUAAAGUGAUGAUACUAACUGA
Molecule: long non-coding RNA, 2067 nt
Organism: Oncorhynchus nerka (sockeye salmon)
Lineage: Eukaryota; Metazoa; Chordata; Actinopteri; Salmoniformes; Salmonidae
Exons: 2
Source: RefSeq, a predicted model, not a curated record